This is a long non-coding RNA of Solanum pennellii, 2251 nucleotides long. RefSeq lists it as uncharacterized. The transcript has 2 exons. NCBI's taxonomy places the organism in Eukaryota, Viridiplantae, Streptophyta, Magnoliopsida, Solanales, Solanaceae. The record is from RefSeq and is a predicted model, not a curated record.
CUUUAUAAUUUUUGUCCAGCCUAAUUCCGUUCUCUUGAUUCCCAACAAAGCAGGACCAAUUUUUCUCUUAUUCCUAUUCCAAAAGGAAACCUGAUGCAACAUACAUACAAAGCCACUCCAAAAUAUAUACCCGACACACCCUGCGCGCGUUCUUCUUCUUCACGAAGCAAAAUCGUCAACACGAACAAUCCAGCGAAUCCAGUGCAAAAUCGAAGCCCACAAAUGCGACCCGAGUCCAGCAACUCGCGCGUCCCUCUUCUUUCUUCUAUCGUAGGAAGACCGUUGGAAAAUUCGUGGGUGUCAAGAUCCCGCACCUCAAGCGUCCUUACUCCAAAGAAUCGGACGUCUCUCCUCGUUUUUCCGUUAAAAAUUUUGUACAAGGAUUAUACUAUUGACAGCUUUUCACCUUAUCUCUUAAGGGAAUUCAAAUUUGGAAUUUCGAAUUCAUUUUCGAAAUUCAUCCCGUUUCCCCCUCAAAAUCGUGCCCUAUUUCUUCCUCUAUAUAAAUCCUUUUUGCCUUCAGUGUUUGGGUUUAUUUUUUCUUUUUUUUUUCAUUGGCAAAAUAGAAUGGCUUAGCACAAAAUUGAUACAGAGAAUAAAUUCAAAAUACACUUAAUAAUAGAGAAAAUAAUUUGUUUCAAGUUUUAGUUUCAUCCUUUCUGUUCAUCACUCGCCCAGGUUCAUUCGAGUUUGGGAAACUCGUGAAGUCAUUGGUGGUGGAAUAGCUAGUUUCAACUCUUUCGUCCCGGAUUCUCUGCCCGAAAAAGGGUAAUCCCUCUUCCUUUUAACUUUUCUUUGUUUCCUAUUAUGUGACUGGUUGUUCUCUUUAGUUUCUUCUGUGUAUUUGAAUCUUUCACUUUUGAUAUUGAGUCGUUCUUUAGACUCGGUUUCAGUCAGUAAAUGUUAGUUUCUUCUUGCUCUUUAGCUUUCAAAUAUAUUUAUGGGUAUUCAAUAUUCUUGUUCCUAAGGCUGAAGCAUAUGCUAUUCUUGAUGUUAAUAUGAAGUUGUUAGAUUUGUCACUCUGUUAGUUUAUUUGGAAAAACAUAUUUAUAUAGUAUGGUCUGUAAUGGGUAUUUGAAUGGUAUAACAAUAAAUAAUUUGUUGAUAUGUGAUUACUAUAGUUCGGCUUGAUCAUAAAUAGGCUAGAAAUCAUGAGAAACAAAUUUGCUUUGGUCUUGAGAAGAUGACUUUUUUUAAAAUGCUAAUAUCUAGUUCAUUUGUUCUAUUUAGUUUUGCUCUUUUGUCAUAUAUGAAAAAUCUGAUGUGAGAUCUUCGGUAAGGAACUACAAACAUCUAAAAAGGGUUAAUGUCUUACUUAAAUGUAUCCUUGUUUUUACAUUUGUUGCUAUCAUUGUUUUGACUUCACCAUGUUUACAUGCUUUACUUAUUUGGUGAUUUCUUGUAAGUAAUGUUAAGGUUAUCUCAUUUGAAUUGCCUUAUUCAUGUUUCAUAGUUGCAUUCUCUAUAUUGAUAUAGUAGAGUGCUCCUACAUUUGGUGCUUCAAAUGUCAUUAUGUGUUCCCUUAAUCACAUUUAAAUCAACAAGACUUAUGUUUUAUCUUAUUGUUUCUUUUGCAUGAACUUGGACCGAGUCCUAUGGACUCUCCAUCCCUCGCAUAUCAUUAAGUGGCAUCUUGAGUCGGCCUUCAUCAUUUUUUCUGAUUUCGAAAGCUGAAAGAAUUGAAGAGGAGCUGCAUUAUAAGUUCUGAAGGUUGAAAACAGGCUGGAAUACGAUCUUUAUACGCUGGUAUAUAUGAUUUAGUGUAAUAAAUACGUGAUUAAAAUUGGCAAUACAGGUUUCAGGGGUCAAUAUUGAAUGUACACAUUUGUUAUACGAUUCAAUAUACAGAAAAAUGGGCUAAUAUACCGUCCAUAUGCAGCAACAUACUUUCUGUGUAUACGCAGAUUUUUCUAAAAGAAAUAGGUCCAAAAGCCUUAAACAAUUUCAGCAGGUCCAAAGGGCUAAUGGGCUGAAACCCGUGAUUGUUGGCAAAGUUGUAGGCUUAGGACAGCUCAAUUGGUAAGAGGCGAUCUCCUUGGGAGGGAUGUAAAGGAGCCAUAGGUCACGGGUUCGAUUCUCCCUUGAGGCUGCAUGCCAAUAAGAGGGGAUUAAAAGAGCGAAUGGCCGCCCAUGGCAGAGACAAUACCUGAAUAUGUGGAUCUCGAGGGGGUUGUCACAAAAAUCUAUGGUUUAAUUUUACUAAAUUCUCACAGAUUUUUAUAAUAUGCAAAUUAAAAUAUUUUUAUUUUUA